This 470-nucleotide ribosomal RNA is filed under the name uncultured bacterium. Its description in RNAcentral is "partial 16S ribosomal RNA". It matches the Rfam family "Bacterial small subunit ribosomal RNA", at positions 28 to 507 of the family's 1533-position model. The record is from RNAcentral.
GACGAACGCUGGCGGCGUGCUUAACACAUGCAAGUCGAACGCAGAAGCACCAGCUUUCUGGCGUGGAUGAGUGGCGCACGGGUGAGUAAUACGUGAGUAACCUGCCCUUGACUCUGGGAUAAGCCCUGGAAACUGGGUCUAAUACUGGAUGCUACAUGUCACCGCAUGGUGGUGUGUGGAAAGGGUUUGCUCGUCUUGGAUGGGCUCACGGCCUAUCGGCUUGUUGGGGAGGUAAUGGGUUACCAACGUGACGACGGGAAGCCGGCCUGAGGGGGUGACCGGCGACACUGGGACUGAGGGACGGCACAGGCAGCUAAGGGAGGGAGAAGUGGGGAAGAUUGCAGGAUCGGCGAAGGGCUGAUGCAGCGGGGCCGCGUGAGGGAAGACUGCCUUCGGGUUGAAAACCACAUGCGGCAGGGAAGAAGCCAGUAGUGACGGUACCUACAGAAGAAGCGCCGGCUAACUACGUG